Molecule: ribosomal RNA, 497 nt
Filed under: uncultured bacterium
Lineage: Bacteria
Description: partial 16S ribosomal RNA
Rfam family: Bacterial small subunit ribosomal RNA
Source: RNAcentral
GAUGAACGCUGGCGGCGUGCCUAAUACAUGCAAGUCGAGCGAACGGACGAGAAGCCUGCUUCUCUGAUGUUAGCGGCGGACGGGUGAGUAACACGUGGAUAACCUACCUAUAAGACUGGGAUAACUUCGGGAAACCGGAGCUAAUACCGGAUAAUAUUUUGAACCGCAUGGUUCAAAAGUGAAAGACGGUCUUGCUGUCACUUAUAGAUGGAUCCGCGCUGCAUUAGCUAGUUGGUAAGGUAACGGCUUACCAAGGCAACGAUGCAUAGCCGACCUGAGAGGGUGAUCGGCCAAACUGGAACUGAGACACGGUCCAGACUCCUACGGGAGGCAGCAGUAGGGAAUCUUCCGAAAUGGGCGAAAGCCUGACGGAGCAACGCCGCGUGAGUGAUGAAGGUCUUCGGAUCGUAAAACUCUGUUAUUAGGGAAGAACAUAUGUGUAAGUAACUGUGCACAUCUUGACGGUACCUAAUCAGAAAGCCACGGCUAACUACGUG